ACCGGCGCGACGGGUGAAGUAACGCGUAUGCAACCUACCUAUACAGGAGGGAACUAACCCGGACGAAGUCGGACUAAUACCGCAUAAAACAGGGACACCGCAUGGUGAUAUUUGUUAAAGAAAUUCGCUGAUAGAUGGGCAUGCGUUCCAUUAGGUAGUUGGUGAGGUAACGGCUCACCAAGCCGACGAUGGAUAGGGGAACUGAGAGGUUGGUCCCCCACACUGGUACUGAGACACGGACCAGACUCCUACGGGAGGCAGCAGUGAGGAAUAUUGGUCAAUGGGCGAGAGCCUGAACCAGCCAAGUCGCGUGAAAGGAAGAAGGAUCUAUGGUUCGUAAACUUCUUUUGCAGGGGAAUAAAGUGCAGGACGUGUCCUGUUUUGUAUGUACCCUGAGAAUAAGGAUCGGCUAACUCCGUGCCAGCAGCGGC
Molecule: ribosomal RNA, 431 nt
Filed under: uncultured bacterium
Lineage: Bacteria
Description: bacterial SSU rRNA
Rfam family: Bacterial small subunit ribosomal RNA
Source: RNAcentral